GACGUAGGGCGCGAGCGUUGUCCGGAUUUAUUGGGCGUAAAGGGCGCGUAGGCGGCCUUGCAAGUGACGGGUGAAAUCCCUCGGCUUAACCGAGGAACUGCCUGUCAAACUGCAUGGCUUGAGACCGGGAGAGGUGAGUGGAAUUCCCAGUGUAGCGGUGAAAUGCGUAGAUAUUGGGAGGAACACCAGUGGCGAAGGCGGCUCACUGGACCGGUACUGACGCUGAGGCGCGAAAGCGUGGGUAGCAAACAGG
Molecule: ribosomal RNA, 253 nt
Filed under: uncultured bacterium
Lineage: Bacteria
Description: partial 16S ribosomal RNA
Rfam family: Bacterial small subunit ribosomal RNA
Source: RNAcentral